Non-coding RNA from Paecilomyces variotii, 138 nucleotides. The record is from the annotation of a RefSeq genome assembly. NCBI's taxonomy places the organism in Eukaryota, Fungi, Ascomycota, Eurotiomycetes, Eurotiales, Thermoascaceae.
GACAGGAUGACCGAGUGGUUAAGGUGCAGGCCUGCGUAAGUAGCCUUUACAAAGACACCGUAACUCGAAUUUCCAACUAACACCCCAAAUAGUAAGCCUGUGGGUUCGCCCGCCUGGGUUCGAAUCCCAGUUCUGUCG